Molecule: long non-coding RNA, 230 nt
Filed under: Lathyrus oleraceus (garden pea)
Lineage: Eukaryota; Viridiplantae; Streptophyta; Magnoliopsida; Fabales; Fabaceae
Description: Pisum sativum (pea) long non-coding RNA (PSAT_LNC003864)
Source: RNAcentral
ACCAAGUGAAACAGUUCAAAAUCCGAGAGGUCAAGAGAAUAUUAGUACUGUCACGACGAAAAAGAAAAAGGCUGCUAAAAAGAAAAAAAAUUAUACCAUCGGGCGAGCCGACUGAAGAGGAAAUUACAAAGGAGACUAAACCAGUGAUUAAGUUGCCCUACCCUCAGAGAGUGACAAAGAAGGAACCAAGCGAUUCAGACUUGGAGAAAUUCAUGACAAUGUUUAAAAAG